This 426-nucleotide ribosomal RNA is filed under the name uncultured bacterium. Its description in RNAcentral is "bacterial SSU rRNA". It matches the Rfam family "Bacterial small subunit ribosomal RNA", at positions 356 to 773 of the family's 1533-position model. The record is from RNAcentral.
AGGGAAUCUUCCGCAAUGGACGAAAGUCUGACGGAGCAACGCCGCGUGAGUGAAGAAGGCCUUCGGGUCGUAAAACUCUGUUGCCGGGGAAGAACAAGUGCCGUUCGAACAGGGCGGCGCCUUGACGGUACCCGGCCAGAAAGCCACGGCUAACUACGUGCCAGCAGCCGCGGUAAUACGUAGGUGGCAAGCGUUGUCCGGAAUUAUUGGGCGUAAAGCGCGCGCAGGCGGUUUCUUAAGUCUGAUGUGAAAUCUUGCGGCUCAACCGCAAGCGGUCAUUGGAAACUGGGAGGCUUGAGUGCAGAAGAGGAGGGUGGAAUUCCACGUGUAGCGGUGAAAUGUGUAGAGAUGUGGAGGAACACCAGUGGCGAAGGCGACUCUCUGGGCUGUAACUGACGCUGAGGCGCGAAAGCGUGGGGAGCAAAC